UACGGGGGGUGCAAGCGUUAAUCGGAAUUAUUGGGCGUAAAGGGUGCGUAGGUUGUUUGAUAAGAUAUAUGUGAAAUACCUGGGCUCAACCUGGGAAGGUCAUAUAAGACUGUCAGACUCGAGUAUGGGAGAGGGUAGAGGAAUUUCCGGUGUAGCGGUGAAAUGCGUAGAUAUCGGAAGGAACAUCGGUGGCGAAGGCGUCUACCUGGCCUAAUACUGACACUGAGGCACGAAAGCGUGGGGAGCAAACAGG
Molecule: ribosomal RNA, 253 nt
Filed under: uncultured bacterium
Lineage: Bacteria
Description: partial 16S ribosomal RNA
Rfam family: Bacterial small subunit ribosomal RNA
Source: RNAcentral